Molecule: transfer RNA, 74 nt
Filed under: Phycisphaerae bacterium
Lineage: Bacteria; Pseudomonadati; Planctomycetota; Phycisphaerae
Also listed under: 1 other name
Description: tRNA-Arg
Rfam family: tRNA
About the family: Transfer RNA (tRNA) molecules are approximately 80 nucleotides in length. Their secondary structure includes four short double-helical elements and three loops (D, anti-codon, and T loops).
Source: RNAcentral
GCCCCGAUAGCUCAGUUGGAUAGAGCAGCGGUCUUCUAAACCGCAGGUCGGACGUUCGAGUCGUCCUCGGGGCG